RNAcentral lists this ribosomal RNA (1050 nucleotides) under uncultured organism. RNAcentral describes it as "bacterial SSU rRNA". It matches the Rfam family "Bacterial small subunit ribosomal RNA", at positions 61 to 1114 of the family's 1533-position model. The record is from RNAcentral.
GUCGAGGGGUAACGAUGGCUUCGGCCAGGCGACGACCGGCGGACGGGUGAGUAUCGCGUAUGUAACCUACCUCUAACUGGAGGAGAGCGCGAAGAAAUUCGGAUUAAUGCUCCAUAUUGCUAUGAGAUGGCAUCAUUUUAUAGUGAAAGCCCCGGCGGUUAGAGAUGGGCAUGCGUGACAUUAGUUUGUUGGUGAGGUAACGGCUCACCAAGGCCACGAUGCCUAGGGGGUCUGAGAGGAUGGUCCCCCACACUGGUACUGAGACACGGACCAGACUCCUACGGGAGGCAGCAGUGAGGAAUAUUGGUCAAUGGGCGAAAGCCUGAACCAGCCAUGCCGCGUGAAGGAUGACAGCGCUAUGCGUUGUAAACUUCUUUUGUACGGGAAGAAACACUUCUACUUGUAGAAGCUUGACGGUACCGUACGAAUAAGCAUCGGCUAACUCCGUGCCAGCAGCCGCGGUAAUACGGAGGAUGCAAGCGUUAUCCGGAUUUAUUGGGUUUAAAGGGUACGUAGGCGGAAAAUUAAGUCAGUGGUGAAAUCCCGCAGCUUAACUGUGGAACUGUCAUUGAUACUGGUUUUCUUGAAUAUAGUUGAGGUAGGCGGAAUGUGUAAUGUAGCGGUGAAAUGCUUAGAUAUUACACAGAACACCGAUUGCGAAGGCAGCUUACUAAACUAUGAUUGACGCUGAGGUACGAAAGCGUGGGGAGCGAACAGGAUUAGAUACCCUGGUAGUCCACGCUGUAAACGAUGAUCACUCGUUGUUGGCGAUAUACUGUCAGCGACUGAGCGAAAGCAUUAAGUGAUCCACCUGGGGAGUACGACCGCAAGGUUGAAACUCAAAGGAAUUGACGGGGGCCCGCACAAGCGGAGGAACAUGUGGUUUAAUUCGAUGAUACGCGAGGAACCUUACCUGGGCUUAAAUGCAGAACGACGGACCGGGAAACUGGUCUUUCUUCGGACGGACUGCAAGGUGCUGCAUGGCUGUCGUCAGCUCGUGCCGUGAGGUGUCGGGUUAAGUCCCAUAACGAGCGCAACCCUCAUCAUUAG